GGAUGGAUGGAUAAAGAAAUCUGAAUAUACUGUGCUGCUAAUUGUACAAAAUUCUAUUUGUACAACUGAUACUAACAUUUUCUUGUUGUUUAACAUGUAUAUGAAGUUAUGAAAAAUUCCUAUGCAACUAAACAAUUUGUGGAAUUACAUAAAAAUAAUAAUUAAAAUAAAUGUCAAAAUAAUCAUUGCUUUUUAAAGGUUUCAGUGGACAGAGUUCAAGUGAUGAUGAUAGUGUGGUUCAUGUAAGGUUGCCAUCUCAAGAUAGUCCACUAUCUGACACUGUGGUGUGGGAUGGUCCAGAUGAAGCAAGCACUCCAAGACUGGAGAAAAUUUUGAAUGGGCCUUUUGGACACACAGAACAAGGGUCUGAUCAGGAUGGCGGAAACACCAACGUCCAGGAGCAUCCCAUGUCCUCAGAGGGCCAGAACCACUUCUAUCGCAACUACACAAAUGUGUACGCACCAAUAAUUGUUGACAGCGACUCUGAGCCGGAUGAAUAUGUGAUGCAGUUCCCUGAGCAAAGUACAGACAACGUGACUGCUGCAGACAUCAUUUCAGAGCUCUCGGCAAUGAUCACGUCAUCAUCUCUCAGCCGCUUUAACAUAAACAGAGCCAAUGUAUGGGAUGGAGCACUGAGAGGUUUCAAGCGGGCUUCUUUCAACCCUUUCAAUGAAAUAUUUGUAAAAUUCACCGAUGACGAGGGACAGGCAGAAGACGGCGUUGAUAACGGUGGUCCCAAGCGCGAGUUUCU
Molecule: long non-coding RNA, 751 nt
Organism: Xiphophorus hellerii (green swordtail)
Lineage: Eukaryota; Metazoa; Chordata; Actinopteri; Cyprinodontiformes; Poeciliidae
Exons: 6
Source: RefSeq, a predicted model, not a curated record